Molecule: long non-coding RNA, 2614 nt
Organism: Acanthochromis polyacanthus (spiny chromis)
Lineage: Eukaryota; Metazoa; Chordata; Actinopteri; Pomacentridae
Exons: 2
Source: RefSeq, a predicted model, not a curated record
UGUGACACCCGGCGGAUGUAAACAAAGAAGCAUGAGCAGAGUUUGCUUCACUGCUGUGUGGACUGAGCUAUAAAACGGCUGUAUUAUAGUAUGAAUGAGAAAUAUCAGAGCGAUAAAGUAACAAUGUGUUCAGUUGAGUAUCUGAGAGAGUUGAUCAGCGACAGACUAGCUGCUGCUGCUGGAGAAAUAUUCUCAGAGUUUGAAAAAACCAUCGUCCAGUACCAGGAGGAGAUCGAUCGUCAGCGCAGACUGCUGGAUGUCAUCUGGAAACCACACAUCCCCUUACAACCCAUAGAGCUCCCACAGUCUUAUGUCUGUGAGAAUGAGAAGACUGUUGUUGACCAUCAGCCCCAUGACCAGGAGAGAAACUCCAUGGUGGACCAUGAAGACCCAGAGCCUCCACGGAUUAAAGAUCAGCAGGAGGAACUCUGCACCAGUCAGGACCAAUCAAACCCAGAGAUUUCUCAAAUUAAAAUGGAACAGGAAGAAUUGUGCACCAGUCUGGACCAAUUAGACCCAGGGUUACCACAAAUUAAAGUGGAACAGGAUGAACUCUGCUCCAGUCAGGAGGAAGACUUAAUAGGAUUGAAACAGGAGACUGAUACCUUUGAGGUGACUCCUGCUGAUGAGGAAAGUGACCACAGUGAACCAAACCAAACAGUGAUCAGCUCCUGUUUCACAUCUCUUGUGUAGCUGAGAGCCCAGAUCAGGAAGGAAGCAAGGAUGUAGACUCAGGAUCAACUAGAUGUAUCGAGCAGAAACCAAGACAUCAGAGUAACAACAGUCACAGUAAUGAUGUAGACAAUGCUCCAACAUCAGCGAGACAGUGUGAUAAUGACAAGGCAAGAAAAUGUACAACAUGCGAGGUGUGUGGAAAAGCUUUUAGGCGUAAAUCAAAUUUAAUUAGACAUCACAGAACUCACACAGGUGAGAAGCCGUAUUCUUGUGAAACCUGUGGAAAAAGCUUCAGUCAACGGCACUCUUUGACUGACCACAUGAGAUGUCACACAGGUGAGAAACCAUAUGUUUGUCACAUUUGUGGAAAAAGAUUUUCUGGUUCAUCAGUUCAUUAUAAGCACAUGGCAGUUCACAAAAUGGGAAAGCCAUAUUCUUGUGGAACCUGUGGAAAAAACUUCAGUCAACGGUCCUAUUUGACUGUCCACUUAAGACGUCACACAGGUGAGAAGCCAUAUUCUUGUGGAACCUGUGGAAAAAGCUUCAACUGUCGUUAUCGAUUAAAAGCCCACAUGAGAAUCCACACAGCUGAGAAGUUGUGAUCCUGAAACAUCUGUGAAAAAUAAAAAGAACUAAGCUUGAAACAACAUGGAAGAAUUGGUACAGAUUAAAAGUAGAUGUUUUAGAUUUAAAGCAGCUCGAGUCUGUGCUUCAACAACAGUUGUGAGGAAGUAUGUAAGCCAUCCUUGAUGAUUAGACCAGAUGGAGUCUGGACUGUGGUGGUGGAGCAGCAGGCAGAAGAACCAAACUGAAUGUCUGGAUGGAUAUGGUAUUGGUACAGACUGCUACAUUUCUGCUAUCAUGACAUCCUUCAUCAGCAGAGCACUGAUUGGAGAUAAUGUGAAGCUGUUUGGAACAUUUUCACAUCCUGCUGAGAGAACAUGGCUGUUCAGGUGUGAACAUACUGCUGGAAUCCACUCAGCUUGAGCUCUGCUGUCUUUCUAGUAAAAGGAGGCAACGAGAUACAGAGACAUUGUGACAGUAGGACACAACAGAGUGUGUCACUGCAGCAGAGGAGAUCUGGACGUGAAAUAAAGUUGUAAUAAAACGUCUACAGCUCCAUGACUGCUUCAUGAAAUGUUUUGAAUGUUUUCAAACAGAUGAACAUUUACAAGUUGUUUCAUAAUUAAUGUAACAUUGAAGAGCCCCAGCAAGAAUAACUCUGAGUCAGAUGUCAAAGACAUAACCAACAUUAUUAUGUUUUCAAGCAACAGACAUGUGGUUUUACUAGUAGUAGCUGAUACACUCCUGCAAAUGUCAAAACCAGAAAUGUUAAAAACAGGUGAAGCUGUGCUGCAGUUUCUGCUGGUUACAUAAAGGUCUUAUGCUAUUUAUUUCUUCUGUUGCCACCACAUAGGUCAUCUGUGUGAUUUGUUAGUAGGAUCUCAUUGUGUCGUCAUACAGCACAUCGAACCCUUGUAUUGUCUGAACGUCCUGAACACUCCUCCUGUCCUCAGGGUCAGAAAUGACCUGCCUCCACUGAGCCUCUAAAAUAGAGCAGCUUAAUGGAGUUUUUAACCAAAAAUCUAUUUUACAUGAAGAAACAACCUGUCAUGCAUCACACACUUUGUGAAUGCCUGUUUUUGCUUCCUCAGAGGGUAGAAAGACUGUAUUUAAUCAGUGAACACCAUUCGUUUUUAUUCCAUUGUUCAUGCUGUAACUGUUUUCUUUCUUUAAGUAGAGGUUUAUUAUCACUAUUAUUGCUGCUAAAGGUACUGCAUAGGUGUAAACAUUUCUUGUUUUGCAAGAGAUAAUACUUCUAUAGCCUAAUAAAGUACCAGAAAUGUGCAGAAAUGAACUUGAAAUGCAUUUUUGAAGGGAAACAACAGUGUACUGUAUACUGUACAAUGGAAUAUAAAACUACAAAACUCAACUACCA